UCCCCAAUAGCUCAGGGGUAGAGCGUAUGGCUGUUAACCAUCGGGUCGUAGGUUCAAAUCCUACUUGGGGAG
This 72-nucleotide transfer RNA is filed under the name Gormaniella terricola. Its description in RNAcentral is "tRNA-Asn". It matches the Rfam family "tRNA". From Rfam's summary of the family: Transfer RNA (tRNA) molecules are approximately 80 nucleotides in length. Their secondary structure includes four short double-helical elements and three loops (D, anti-codon, and T loops). The record is from RNAcentral. Lineage: Eukaryota; Viridiplantae; Chlorophyta; Chlorophyceae; Chaetopeltidales; Chaetopeltidaceae.